UACGUAGGUGGCAAGCGUUAUCCGGAAUUAUUGGGCGUAAAGCGCGCGCAGGUGGUUAAUUAAGUCUGAUGUGAAAGCCCACGGCUUAACCGUGGAGGGUCAUUGGAAACUGGUUGACUUGAGUGCAGAAGAGGGAAGUGGAAUUCCAUGUGUAGCGGUGAAAUGCGUAGAGAUAUGGAGGAACACCAGUGGCGAAGGCGGCUUCCUGGUCUGCAACUGACACUGAGGCUCGAAAGCGUGGGGAGCAAACAGG
Molecule: ribosomal RNA, 253 nt
Filed under: uncultured bacterium
Lineage: Bacteria
Description: partial 16S ribosomal RNA
Rfam family: Bacterial small subunit ribosomal RNA
Source: RNAcentral